Molecule: ribosomal RNA, 497 nt
Filed under: uncultured bacterium
Lineage: Bacteria
Description: partial 16S ribosomal RNA
Rfam family: Bacterial small subunit ribosomal RNA
Source: RNAcentral
GAUGAACGCUGGCGGCGUGCCUAAUACAUGCAAGUCGAGCGAACGGACGAGAAGCUUGCUUCUCUGAUGUUAGCGGCGGACGGGUGAGUAACACGUGGAUAACCUACCUAUAAGACUGGGAUAACUUCGGGAAACCGGAGCUAAUACCGGAUGAUAUUUUGAACCGCAUGGUUCAAAAGUGAAAGACGGUCUUGCUGUCACUUAUAGAUGGAUCCGCGCUGCAUUAGCUAGUUGGUAAGGUAACGGCUUACCAAGGCAACGAUGCAUAGCCGACCUGAGAGGGUAAUCGGCCACACUGGAACUGAGCCACGGUCCAGACUCCUACGGGAGGCAGCAGUAGGGAAUCUUCCGCAAUGGGCGAAAGCCUGACGGAGCAACGCCGCGUGCGUGAUGAAGGUCUUCGGAUCGUAAAACUCUGUUAUUCGGGAAGAACAUAUGUGUAAGUAACUGUGCACAUCUUGACGGUACCUAAUCAGAAAGCCACGGCUAACUACGUG